CUCCCCCUAGUUACAUGAGCUUUUCCUUUAAGACCUUUAAUUAAUACAGUGGGUCCCAUAUGAAGAGGGAUCAUACCAACAAAUCUCUUCCUCCCGACUCAUAUGAGAGGUUCUAUCAAGUCUGCAAUACUCUUGCUCCUUCAUUGCCUUCAACUACUACUCACUAUGCUGGUACUCCUUGGCUUCGGAGUAGGACUCCUUAUUGAGCCUAAAUGAGCCUA
This 221-nucleotide long non-coding RNA is filed under the name Elaeis guineensis (African oil palm). RNAcentral describes it as "long non-coding RNA (EGUI_LNC037999)". Lineage: Eukaryota; Viridiplantae; Streptophyta; Magnoliopsida; Arecales; Arecaceae. The record is from RNAcentral.